CCACGAUCCAGUGAGAACCACCAUACUCCAAUUAGCCCAGGAUCCAGUAAAAGACAUCAUUCUCCAAUUAUCCCAGAAUCCAGUGACAAUACCAAGAUCUGUGAAAGCCAUAAUUCUUUACUUAGCCAAUAUUCCAGUGAUUUUUCCAGAAUUAGCUCAGGAUCCAUCAUUCUCUAAUUAGCCCAGAAUCAUUUGAGAGCUAUUAGGUUCUAUUUAGCCCAUGAUUCAGUGAC
Non-coding RNA from Pelobates cultripes (western spadefoot toad), 233 nucleotides. Lineage: Eukaryota; Metazoa; Chordata; Amphibia; Anura; Pelobatidae. The record is from the annotation of a GenBank genome assembly.